Molecule: ribosomal RNA, 372 nt
Filed under: uncultured organism
Description: bacterial SSU rRNA
Rfam family: Archaeal small subunit ribosomal RNA
Source: RNAcentral
CCAGCACCCCGAGUGGUCGGACGAUUAUUGGGCCUAAAGCAUCCGUAGCCGGUUUACAAGUCCUCCGUUAAAUCCAACUGCUUAACAGAUGGGCCGCGGAGGAUACUAUAAGACUAGGAGGCAGGAGAGGCAAGCGGUACUCAGUGGUAGGGGUAAAAUCCGUUGAUCCAUUGAAGACCACCAGUGGCGAAGGCGGCUUGCCAGAAUGCGCUCGACGGUGAGGGAUGAAAGCUGGGGGAGCAAACCGGAUUAGAUACCCGGGUAGUCCCAGCUGUAAACGAUGCAGACUCGGUGAUGGACUAGCUUUAUGCUAGUCCAGUGCCGCAGGGAAGCCGUUAAGUCUGCCGCCUGGGUAGUACGGUCGCAAGACUG